RNAcentral lists this long non-coding RNA (269 nucleotides) under Struthio camelus australis. RNAcentral describes it as "lncRNA (ENSSCUG00000014933.1)". The record is from RNAcentral. Lineage: Eukaryota; Metazoa; Chordata; Aves; Struthioniformes; Struthionidae.
UCAUAGCACAUGGCAAGAUCUUACUCCUUUCAUGUCUCCAUCUGCAGCCAGAGAAGGUCUUGUGUAGUGCUGAGGUGUUUGGGACAGUUGUAUAAAAAAGGACUGUACGUAGUUUACAUUCCCAUCUGAUACGUGAAGAAUAUGUUUUUUUGUCAAGGGCUCCUAAAGCUAUUAAACCUUACAGGUAAGUCAUGCAGAUACCCUUACUAAAACCAACACGGCUAUAGGAUUUGGCUAGAACUUGUUUUCAAGAGCACUUAUGUUAUUUA